CCUACGGGUGGCUGCAGUGAGGAAUAUUGGUCAAUGGGCGCGAGCCUGAACCAGCCAAGUAGCGUGAAGGAUGACUGCCCUACGGGUUGUAAACUUCUUUUAUACAGGGAUAAAGUCAGGCACUUGUGCCUUUUUGCAGGUACUUUAUGAAUAAGGGUCGGCUAAAUCCGUGCCAGCAGCCGCGGUAAUACGGAGGGUCCGAGCGUUAUCCGGAUUUAUUGGGUUUAAAGGGAGCGUAGAGGGGUUGUUAAGUCAGUUGUGAAAGUUUGCGGCUCAACCGUCAAAUUGCAAUUGAUACUGGAAGUCUUGAGUACAGUUGAGGCAGGCGGAAUUCGUGGUGUAGCGGUGAAAUGCUUAGAUACCACGAAGAACCCCGAUUGCGAAGGCAGCUUACUAAGCUGCCACUGACAUUGAUGCUCGAAAGUGCGGGUAUCAAACAGGAUUAGAUACCCUAGUAGUC
Molecule: ribosomal RNA, 460 nt
Filed under: uncultured bacterium
Lineage: Bacteria
Description: partial 16S ribosomal RNA
Rfam family: Bacterial small subunit ribosomal RNA
Source: RNAcentral